UUGCGUAUACUAAAGAAGAAUUUUCUUCCUCAGUUUUGGAUUAGAGGUAACAAAAGGACCCAUAACAAAUAAACUUAUAAUAGUGUUUAGACUCUGUGGUACUUUACAAAACACUGUUUGAUGCCGGUGAGUCGAGCGAAACUUGUAGAAUCAAAGGGAUCAGAUACACAUAAUAGUACGUGCAAUGAAUGCAAGAAAUACCAUUUCUGAAAGUUAGCUUUAUAGCUAGCGUUCCCUAUUAAGACAGCCGAACAGGAAUUAACUAAAUUUUAUUUCGUAUAAGAUGUUGGCCAAACACACGGUGAACUUGUGUUGGUAGCUAACUCGCGUCUUUAUGUUCUGCUGUCCCGUAGAAUUUUAUUCAUAAUACCAAAAGCAUUUCAACUGGUAUCUUUGAUGUCAUACCGAGGAGUUUGAAUGUUUCUUAAAUUUAACUCCAGUUACCCAUCCAGUUUGGACAAAGAAAGACGCUGAAAUUUAGUGGUUUAAUAGUUCAUCAACCAACAUGAACAUUUUAUACAAGCCGGCAUCUUAACUCGACUUGAUUAAAAAUCACCUCGAAGGCUUGGGUAAAACCUGCUCGAGCCUGUUGGAGCAAAAGAGUGCAGAGCGCUGUGAAGGUGUCACCGUGAAAAUCAUGUCCGAGGACACCAACGUGGACAGGUUCAUUAAGGAGACGUCUAUUUUGGAAGAGUAUAACAUCAACUGGACACAGAAACUUGGAGCUGGUAUCAGUGGUCCUGUGAGGUUGUGUGUGAAGAAGUCAACACAAGAACGAUUUGCUCUUAAGAUCUUGAUUGACAGACCGAAAGCUCGCAAUGAGGUGAGACUUCAUAUGAUGUGUGCCUCUCACCCCAACAUUGUUAAAAUAAUGGAGGUGUACGCCAACAGCGUACAGUUUCCACAUGAAUCCAGUCCAAGGGCAAGGCUAUUGAUUGUCAUGGAGAUGAUGGAAGGUGGCGAGCUGUUCCACAGAAUCAGCCAGCACAAGCACUUUACAGAGAAGAUGGCCAGUCAGGUCACAAAACAGAUAAGUCUUGCUUUGCAACACUGUCAUUCAUUAAAUAUUGCACAUCGUGACCUGAAACCGGAGAACCUGCUCUUCAAGGAUAAUUCACUGGAUGCCCCUGUAAAACUUUGUGAUUUUGGUUUUGCCAAAAUCGACCAAGGUGAUUUACUGACGCCACAGUUCACUCCUUACUAUGUAGCACCCCAGGUGCUGGAGGCACAAAGACGCCACCAGAAAGAAAAGUCUGGAAUUAUACCUACCUCACCCACCCCUUAUACAUACAACAAGAGCUGUGACCUGUGGUCCUUGGGGGUGAUCAUCUAUGUAAUGCUGUGUGGAUAUCCUCCAUUUUACUCCAAGCACCACAGCCGCACCAUCCCAAAAGACAUGCGCAAAAAAAUCAUGACUGGCAGCUUUGAAUUCCCUGAGGAGGAGUGGAGUCAAAUAUCUGAAAUGGCCAAGGACAUUGUCCGCAAGCUACUUAAAGUCAAGCCAGAGGAGAGGCUAACCAUAGAGGGAGUAUUAGGCCAUCCCUGGCUCAACUGCACUGAGGCACUGGACAAUGUGCUUCCCUCUGCUCAAAUGAUGAUGGACAAGGCAGUUGUGGCUGGGAUUCAACAGGCCCAUGCUGAGCAACUGGCAAAUAUGAGGAUACAGGAUCUCAACCUCAGUCUAAAGCCACUCAACUCUGUGAACAACCCCAUUUUGAGAAAGAGAAAGCUACUUGGCACCAAACCCAGUGAUGAACUUUUCUUCAAUGAUCCAGAGAAUGAGGCAGAGGACACCAACGUGGGUCUGGAAAAACUAAGGGAUGUAAUAGCACAGUGCAUCUUGCCACAAGCUGAAAAGUCCCUUCACCUCUCAUUGAAAGUCCCCUCACAGGAAAUUGGUCUCAAAAUGCUCCUACAGAUUAUGUGGUGGAAAAAUAGCACAGGAAGGCGACAACGAGGAUGAAAAACUGAAUGAAGUUAUGUAUGAAGCGUGGCGCUUCAAUCGGGACUGCAAGCUUCUCAGAGAUGGAUUGCAAGGGUUAAGUUGGGAUGGUAGAAAUUUUUCAGACAAAGUAGAUCGCUUAAAAUUGGCUGAAAUUGUGAAACAGGCCAUUGAAGAAAAGACCAAUUUACAAGACUCCCUAUAGCAAACGCUGUAGUUCUACAUCCUUUUGUACUGUUUAUUAUAACUGCAAAAACUCUUUUUUUUUUAUUAAAGUGCAGACCUUUUUCCAUGGUCAUGCUGCAGGCUGUUGUAUAUCUGUAGGUAAAGCCAAGUUGUUGUUGGUAUUUGUUCGCUUUUUAAACUAAAGAAAUACUGUACAGUAUUAUGUUAAAAAUACUGUAUUUUCAUUUCUGAAAAUAUUGAAAAGUGGGAAAACCAAUCAGUUUUUACCUGCUGAAAUGGAAGGGAUUACACAAUAUGUCAAUAUGUCUAUUUUCUGUGUUAAAUCAAAUUGAAUUGACUUGAAACAAAACAUGAAACAAUGUCGCUUAAACAAGAAUAAAUACAAGUUAAGACAAUGGUGGGCAUUAAAACUUUGAUGUAAUGUGCUAAGUAAGGGAUAAUCCACAGCUAUAAAUAAUUAUAAUGCACAACAUGGAGCCAAAAAAACACCCAACACAACGUUUCAAUUGUUUAAGGCACACUUAGCCGUGGAUUAUCCCACUUACACCUUGGUCACUUGCCAGCAUUUAAAAGUUAAAGCUCUCAUUAAUUUUUGCAAAACAAAUUUGAAAGAAUAAAUAUAAGGGUUGAAUUUAUCUAAAGUAGUGCAAUAAGAUUACAUGUAUUUGAAUGAAUUAAAAAGCUGUAUGAAUAAUUGUAAAAAAAAAGAUCAUGAGUUUUUUUUCAAAUAUCAAAAACAGUGAAUUUAAAUGCACAAUCCAGAAUGUCCUAGUAAUAGCCCCAGAAUGUAGAAGUGUUGGCACUCUUAAGAACAUGUAAAAUUUAAUUUCUAUUCUUUGUCAUAUUCACAUUAAUGGGGGAAAAACAGCAUUACAGAAAUUACAUCUCUCUGUUAAGGACAUGACCGUUGUAAAACUGGCACCUUAAUGACGAGGGAAAACCAUCAAAAACGCUUUGAAUCCUGCAGACUUUGACCUCUGAGACACUGGUAUGGUAUCCAUUAAGGCUGCAAUUUAAGGUUGAUAUCGCGAUACAUCCUUGAACGAUUUGAGGGACAGAGGCAUACUGUAAUACUCGCAAAUUAUAAGCUUCUCAUUUCUGCCUUUACACCCUUUAAAAAAUUAGACCCAAUCACUUUGACUGUAAGUGCCUCAGUGCAAGCUCAAUUUUAACUGUUUUGUUUUUUGUUUUGUUUUUUAAGAAAAGGAGGGACAAGUUGAAAUUUUUUUUUUUUUUUUUGUGGUUAUCAAAAUUAUGCCAUAAAUGUUGUUGAUUGAGCUUAACUUGUAUUGAACCCGAAAUAUUUCUUUAAGGAGGACAGCAGAGUAGGUGCAAUAAUAUAGAACAGUGAUUAAAACUGACUGGAACUGAGCAUUAAAUGGUUUUAAAGCACUCAUUUCAGCCAAUCAGAAUCUAGUUUUCUGAAAGACCAUUGGAUAAAUUGAGUAGUGUUUUGUUUGGGGCAGAGAAUUACAUGAAAUUUAAAGUUAUAUUGUAAUUUUAAAAGCACUGAAUUUCCUAAUUUCUUAAGUAUAACAUUAUGUAACACACAUGUAGUCUUGCAUUGAAACUAAUCAAAUUAGUUCCUUCUCAUUAAUAUCUUGGAACUAUCAGCUCAGGCACUGGUCUGAUAGAUCUCUGUCAACCAAAAAUUUAAUUUUCUGCAUGAAGAUAUAAUAUGCAUAAGCAACUGUAAUUGAGUGAAAGAAUAUCACAAAUGUAGGAUAAAUGUUGUCACUGAAGUCAAAUAAUAAAUUGAACAACUAACCAAAUAUUUUUGCAUCCUACUGGAUUGUUGGAGUGUCAUGCAGUUUGGAUAAACAACAUGCCCUCCACAUGCUAAUUCUGCUGUAGUGACAUGUUGAUUCGUUAAAGAACGAAGCAAUUCAUACUUAUUACCUAACUUAUACAGCAAGUGAUAGUUUUACCUGCAUUCAAAUGGGCUCUGCCUGAACACUGGUUAACAUAAACAAAAAGGAUUUUCAGAACAAUUUCACAUACGUUUUGAAAAUCCAUUGAUAUACAACUUUGCACAAACUAUAAUUUGGUACGCUUUAAUCUGAAUCUGGCGUAGUACAUGGAUGGGGUGGAGUAAAUUCAGUAAUGUCCCUGUGUCGAGGAAACUUUCUGUUUCUGUUAUGUGACGUACACUGUAAGAAAUGAUUGUGUACUUUAGUAGAUUUAAUGAAAAUAAAAUGAGUUAACUAUAUUUAAUUGAAUUAUGUAAGCUCUCUUUUAAAAAAAAAAAUCUUUGUAAUAGAAUGUAGUCAUUUUUGUUGUUAAGAGUAUAAUAAUUUUGUCUGAUUAAUUUCCAAUGAAUAGAUUAUGGAGUGAAUCCAACUUAAUGCAAAUAAGUAGUUUUAUAUUUAAAAGCAUUUUCUGUUUAAACUGGAUCACUACAGUUUGUCCAAUUUGGUACCUUUGCAACAAAUUUUUAAAAAGGAAAAUCUGACAGCAAUCUUUUGUAAUA
Molecule: RNA transcript, 4598 nt
Organism: Myxocyprinus asiaticus (Chinese sucker)
Lineage: Eukaryota; Metazoa; Chordata; Actinopteri; Cypriniformes; Catostomidae
Gene name: MAP kinase-activated protein kinase 5-like
Exons: 15
Source: RefSeq, a predicted model, not a curated record